RNAcentral lists this ribosomal RNA (482 nucleotides) under uncultured bacterium. RNAcentral describes it as "SSU rRNA". It matches the Rfam family "Bacterial small subunit ribosomal RNA", at positions 26 to 518 of the family's 1533-position model. The record is from RNAcentral.
AGGACGAACGCUGGCGGCGCGCUUAACACAUGCAAGUCGAGCGAGAACCAGGACUUCGGUCCUGAGGACAGCGGCGAACGGGUGAGUAACACGUGGGUAAUCUGCCCUCGAUUCUGGGAUAGCCCGGGGAAACCCGGAUUAAUACCGGAUAGCCUUCUGAGCCUUCGGGCGAGGAAGAAAAGGUAGCUUCGGCCUCCGAUCGAGGAUGAGCCCGCGGUGGAUUAGCUUGUUGGCGGGGUAAUGGCCCACCAAGGCGACGAUCCAUAGCUGGUCUGAGAGGACGAUCAGCCACACUGGGACUGAGACACGGCCCAGACUCCUACGGGAGGCAGCAGUGGGGAAUCUUGCGCAAUGGGCGAAAGCCUGACGCAGCGACGCCGCGUGGGGGAAGAAGGCCUUAGGGUUGUAAACCUCUUUUCUCGAGGGAAGAUAAUGACGGUACCUGAGGAAUAAGCCACGGCUAACUACGUGCCAGCAGCCGC